GGUUCGAUGGUGUAGUUGGUUAUCACGUCUGUCUCACAUUUCUCAACGCCUGGGCGCGAACAGCGUAAAAUGGGUGCACAGGAGGUCUCCGGUUCGAGCCCGGGUCGAACCA
Non-coding RNA from Trametes pubescens, 112 nucleotides. The record is from the annotation of a GenBank genome assembly. Lineage: Eukaryota; Fungi; Basidiomycota; Agaricomycetes; Polyporales; Polyporaceae.